This is a long non-coding RNA of Cyprinus carpio carpio, 2439 nucleotides long. The record is from Ensembl. NCBI's taxonomy places the organism in Eukaryota, Metazoa, Chordata, Actinopteri, Cypriniformes, Cyprinidae.
CUCAGUGUUGUGCACUUUGUCACCAGCCAUUCACACCAGAUCUGUUUGGUCGGAGCAUGUCUCUCCAUUUUUCAGUGCUUACAAGCAAUACGAUACAAUAUUAAAUCGGCUGACUGUGGUGUCAGCAUCUGUACUUUUAUAUUUAGCCACAUAUACUGCAGAUAUUCCCUUUUUAGUGAGGUGCCUGAUAUUCCAGUAUGUGAGAGGACAUGUAAUAAACUGAGAUCAGUUCUUGGGAAUCCUUGCAUUUGUUGGCAAUGGUUCAGCCAAGAUUGGAAAAUGAUAACAUGCAUCAAACAUAUGAUAUGGACAAGCAAGGGGGAUGUUUUUUCUCUGAUUAUAAUGACUGCAAAUGUAAUAUUGAUUUAUAACAGUUCAAACAAAAAGUUAAUAUAGGUGACAUACAAUUUAGAGUCAAAUUCAGUGGUUGUCUUUUCGUGUAUAUUUCAUCAAAGCAACGUAUUGUAUUAGGCUACCAAGUAAUUCCUGUUAAAUUCCUUCUUACCCCCUCGUUUAUUAGGCUACUUUGCUCUCAGGAAUGGUAUUUACUCUUUCAGAACUUCACGACAUCAGUGGGCGUUUUCUUAUCAGAGAGCGUGAGACAUUUUUACACAUUUCCCCUUGCUCAUUCAACCGCCUCUCAUUUACAGUAUCAUCAUGCGGACCGCUCUGCUUCUCGCGGUGUUCUCGUGCUUUUCUCUUAUCGAGGGAAAGCCAUUCGAAGGGGCUCAUUCCAAUUACAGUCUACUUGCAUUUUGUCAGACAUGUGACCGUGAGGCAGGCUAGCUCAAUCCGAGUAGAUAAAACGUGUGUUGGAAUUCGCAGAGAAGAUUCGUCCUAUGACUUUGACCUGCCCGACGCUGUGGCCGUGAACUUGCAAGACCUCACCUGUGAUGCAGAGUGGACCAUUGAUCAAUUCACAGCUAUCCUGGAUGGAAAUUCAGCAUACUUUUCACAUCCCUUCAAAAACGUAACCCGUAAUGGAAUCAGUGUGACUUACUGUCCAUUUUCAGUCACAUUCCAUGCCUCUUGUCUUAAUUAUGUCAAUCACCUUACAUGUUCUUGCACCAAUUCCACCAGCAUCUAUCCAGUGUUUAGCACAACUCUGCCAUCUAGAGAUUCAUCCUCCACUGCAAUCAAAACUAAUUCUUCAGUGAGACAACACUAUGUUGCCAUUGCUGUUGCUGCCAUUUUUGUCAUAACCCUUGUCAUUUUGGCUUUCCACUCUGCAAGCACAGCGAAAUAUGCUCCUGAAGAACAAAACCAGCCUGGUUCAGUAGAAUGAGCCUGAGGAGGCAACUGUAAUUGCCCUAGAAACAACACAUGGCGUGGAGUCAUAACAACACAUUAUCCUAUAAUGUAACACAUAUUAUAUUAUAUUAUAUUAUAUUAUAUUAUAUUAUAUUAUAUUAUAUUAUAUUAUAUUAUAUAGUCAAAAAUUGAGAUUUUCCACUGUAUAUUAUAUUAUAUUAUAUAGUCCAAAACUGGGAUUUUUCACUGUAUAUUAUAUUAUAUUAUAUUAUAUUAUAUUAUAUUAUAUUAUAUUAUUCAAAACUGUGAUUUUUCACUGUAUCACUCCGCUUGUCCGUGUUCCAUUUUGAACUUGGGUUUUUCAUUGAUUCAUUCUGCAACUAACUUGGUUACGCUAACCGGUUAUGACAAGUGAGGGUUUUGUAUUGAAUGUCUUUUGUAUAAACGAGUUACUGAAUCAUUCAUUCAUUUACUCAAGUAACUUAAUAUUACUCAAGUUAAUCAAUAUUGUAUAAAACCAUACCAAUCAGUAUAACAAUGUCACGCUUUUGGUGCUGCAACAGAACACACAACAGAGUAUGUGGAAGUGGAACGACAUCAAAUUCCUCUCCUUGCUCAAUAAGUUCUGUAAUCAUGUUACUUCACUCCCUCUACACAUUUCCUAUUUCUCACUGGUUAGAGAAAAACACUGCUCUUAGAGUAAGAGAAAACACAGACAUACUAAAAGUGACACAAACAGUGAAAUAUCAGAGUUUUACUAAAUAUGGUCACUGUUGUACCUGUAUUAUAUUAUAUUAUUAUAUUAUAUUAUAUUAUAUUAUAUUAUAUUAUAUUAUAUUAUAUUAUAUUAUAUCAUAUCAUAUAUUAAGUUUAAUAUGAAGUCUAAUAUAAAGGUUAUAACUUUGUAUUUCCUCCCAGUAUUUACAAUAGUUUCCUGUCUCUUCUGUUGUUAGAUAUUGUUUUUUACACAAAUUGGGCUUAAAAGUUUUAAUCAUUAACGUUACAUAGCGGCGCUUGUGUUCAUCUUUGCUUAGUGCUGUAAAUCUUGUUUGCUCGUAGUUCUAAACACUUUUAUAGGAAUUUCUUAUUUAUUUCAGGUUUUUCCAUCCUUGUAGCUCUUUUUAAUUUUUUUGUUUGUUUGUUUUGAGUUAUUCUGAAACUGCCAUUAAACCUAUGCCUUUUACUCAA